AGCAGUGAGGAAUAUUGGUCAAUGGGCGAGAGCCUGAACCAGCCAAGUCGCGUGAGGAGUACUGCCCUAUGGGUGUAAACCUCUUUUGUCGGGGAGCAAAAGCCGGACGUGUCCGUCUGUGAGAGUACCCGAAGAAAAAGCAUCGGCUAACUCCGUGCC
This 159-nucleotide ribosomal RNA is filed under the name uncultured bacterium. Its description in RNAcentral is "partial 16S ribosomal RNA". It matches the Rfam family "Bacterial small subunit ribosomal RNA", at positions 350 to 509 of the family's 1533-position model. The record is from RNAcentral.